CAGAGGGAGAAGCAGGCUCCCUGCAGGGAGCCCAGUGCGGGACUCGAUCCCAGGACCCUGGGAUCCCGCCCUGAGCCGAAGGCAGGUGCUCAAGGUCUGAGCCCCCCCGGGGGCCCCUCAGCCGCGGGUCUUAUAACCUGUUUGGAAGUGGAGGUGCUUUCUAACUGAGCAAAUACGCCUUGCUGAGUGGGACGGCCUUCAGGACCCAGCGUGACCACAGGGUUAGUCUUUGGGAUCCCUAUAAUCUCUCGAUCCCUGGACUUCCCGGGAACCAACCGGCGCACUUUGGGGUCAGAAACUUGGAAUAAUUCAAGUCCUAGCUCUACCACUAACCAGCCAGUGCUAGGUUGGCCGGAGGCACUUUCCUCCAGGAAGAUGCAUCAAACCUGACGCCGUCCUGCUGGGAGAUCGCGCUCGCCUGGCUCUUUACAGGUUCCACAUCCCAGCACUUGCAACCCAAAAUUGUAGGCCUAUAACGGAUUGUAGUAUGAAUACCUAUAAGCAACAGCCUUGCAUUUCUGAGGUUACCCUGGGGAUAGAUUGCAAUGAAAUGUCUGAGAGUUUAUUACAAGGAUUAGAGCUCCACAAAUUUUCCUCCACAGUGCAGUCAUCUUCCCAGUCACAUUUAAGAGGAAUAGAAGAGAGUUGAAAUCAUCUGGUCACUUUCACACAGCUCCUGAUGUUUGACUCCAAAUUAUGACCUUUCCUUAACAUCAUACUGCUUCUAAUAGAACACAAAGG
Canis lupus familiaris (dog) is the source of this 741-nucleotide long non-coding RNA. RefSeq lists it as uncharacterized. The transcript is spliced from 5 exons. NCBI's taxonomy places the organism in Eukaryota, Metazoa, Chordata, Mammalia, Carnivora, Canidae. The record is from RefSeq and is a predicted model, not a curated record.